CCCGCCGGACCUGACUGCUAUCGGAUUGAUACUAAGCCAUGCGAGUCAUUGUAGCAAUACAAGGCAGACGGCUCAGUAACGCGUAGUCAACCUAACCUAUGGACGGGAAUAACCUCGGGAAACUGAGAAUAAUGCCCGAUAGAACACUAUGCCUGGAAUGGUUUGUGUUCCAAAUGAUUUAUCGCCGUAGGAUGGGACUGCGGCCUAUCAGUUUGUUGGUGAGGUAAUGGCCCACCAAGACUAUUACAGGUACGGGCUCUGAGAGGAGUAGCCCGGAGAUGGGUACUGAGACACGGACCCAGGCCCUAUGGGGCGCAGCAGGCGAGAAAACUUUGCAAUGUGCGAAAGCACGACAAGGUUAAUCCGAGUGGUUUCUGCUAAAGGAACCUUUUGUCGGUCCUAGAAACACCGAUGAAUAAGGGGUGGGCAAGUUCUGGUGUCAGCCGCCGCGGUAAAACCAGCACCUCAAGUGGUCAGGAUGAUUAUUGGGCCUAAAGCAUCCGUAGCCUGCUUUGUUAGUUUUCGGUUAAAUCUGUACGCUCAACGUACAGGCUGCCGGGAAUACUGCAAAGCUAGGGAGUGGGAGAGGUAGACGGUACUCGGUAGGAAGGGGUAAAAUCCUUUGAUCUAUUGAUGACCACCUGUGGCGAAAGGCGGUCUACCAGAACACGUCCGACGGUGAGGGAUGAAAGCUGGGGGAGCAAACCGGAUUAGAUACCCGGGUAGUCCCAGCCGUAAACCAUGCAAACUCAGUGAUGCAUUGGCUUGUGGCCAAUGCAGUGCUGCAGGGAAGCCGUUAAGUUUGCCGCCUGGGAAGGUACGUACGCAAGUAUGAAACUUAAAGGAAUUGGCGGGGGAGCACCACAA
This 867-nucleotide ribosomal RNA is filed under the name uncultured archaeon. RNAcentral describes it as "bacterial SSU rRNA". It matches the Rfam family "Archaeal small subunit ribosomal RNA", at positions 13 to 884 of the family's 1478-position model. The record is from RNAcentral.